UACGUAGGUGGCAAGCGUUAUCCGGAUUUACUGGGUGUAAAGGGCGUGUAGGCGGGAGAGCAAGUCAGACGUGAAAUUCCAGGGCUCAACCCUGGAACUGCGUUUGAAACUGUUCUUCUUGAGUGAUGGAGAGGCAGGCGGAAUUCCGUGUGUAGCGGUGAAAUGCGUAGAUAUAUGGAGGAACACCAGUGGCGAAGGCGGCGAUCUGGGGUGCAACUGACGCUCAGUCCCGAAAGCGUGGGGAGCAAAUAGG
RNAcentral lists this ribosomal RNA (253 nucleotides) under uncultured Oscillospira sp. Its description in RNAcentral is "partial 16S ribosomal RNA". It matches the Rfam family "Bacterial small subunit ribosomal RNA", at positions 524 to 776 of the family's 1533-position model. The record is from RNAcentral. Lineage: Bacteria; Bacillati; Bacillota; Clostridia; Eubacteriales; Oscillospiraceae.